RNAcentral lists this ribosomal RNA (293 nucleotides) under uncultured bacterium. Its description in RNAcentral is "partial 16S ribosomal RNA". It matches the Rfam family "Bacterial small subunit ribosomal RNA", at positions 505 to 796 of the family's 1533-position model. The record is from RNAcentral.
GUGUCAGCAGCCGCGGUAAGACAGAGGUGCCGAGCGUUAGGCGGAAUCACUGGGCUUAAAGCGUGUGUAGGCGGACGGGUAAGUACCUUGUGAAAUCCCACGGCUCAACCGUGGAACUGCUGGGUAUACUGCCUGUCUUGAGUCAUCUAGGGGCGAGCGGAACAAAUGGUGGAGCGGUGAAAUGCGUAGAUAUCAUUUGGAACGCCAAUGGUGAAAACAGCUCGCUGGGGAUGUACUGACGCUGAGACACGAAAGCCAGGGGAGCAAACGGGAUUAGAUACCCCGAGUAGUCC